This 305-nucleotide ribosomal RNA is filed under the name uncultured bacterium. Its description in RNAcentral is "partial 16S ribosomal RNA". It matches the Rfam family "Bacterial small subunit ribosomal RNA", at positions 508 to 807 of the family's 1533-position model. The record is from RNAcentral.
ACAGCAGUCGCCGCGGGAAAACGUAGGGUGCGAGCGUUAAUCGGAAUUACUGGGCGUAAAGCGUGCGUAGGCGGUUUGUUAAUUCUGUUGUGAAAUCCCCGGGCUCAACCUGGGAGUGGCAAUGGAUACUGGCAAGCUAGAGUGUGUCAGAGGAUGGUAGAAUUCCCGGUGUAGCGGUGAAAUGCGUAGAGAUCGGGAGGAACAUCAGUGGCGAAGGCGGCCAUCUGGGACAAUACUGACGCUGAGGCACGAAAGCGUGGGGAGCAAACAGGAUUAGAUACCCCGGUAGUCCCUGUCUCUUAUAC